AUGGAAAUGGACAAGCACGGUCGACCUCUGCUUGCUCUGCUUUCGCUACUCCUCUGCAUCUCCCUGCUCCGGGCCAGCUCGGCGGCUUCCGUCACCGCCGGCAACCCCGACGGCACGGAGCUCUGGGGAUUCGUCGAAGUCCGACCAAAGGCCCACCUGUUCUGGUGGUACUACAAGAGCCCCCAGAGGGUGUCGACGCCGUCCAGGCCAUGGCCGACCGUCCUCUGGCUACAGGGCGGUCCCGGAGCGUCGGGGGUGGGCAUCGGCAACUUCAUGGAGAUCGGGCCCCUCGACGUCAACCUGAAGCCUCGAAACUCGACGUGGCUGCAGAAGGCCGACCUCAUCUUCGUGGACAACCCUGUGGGGGUCGGGUACAGUUACGUUGAGGACGACAGCCUGCUGGUGACGACUGACUGGCAGGCGGCCACGGACGCCACCACGCUGCUCAAGGCGCUCGUCAAGGAGCUGCCCACCCUGCAGCAGGGGAGCCCCCUCUUCCUUGUCGCCGAGUCCUACGGCGGAAAGUACGCGGCCACACUCGGCGUCUCCGUCGCAAGGGCCGUCCGUGCCGGCGACCUCAAGAUCAAGCUCGCAGGCGUCGCGCUCGGGGAUAGCUGGGUCUCGCCGGAGGAUUUCACGCUCGCUUACGCGCCGCUGCUCCUGGAGGUUUCGAGGCUCGACGACAACGCCGGCGACGCCGCCAAGAAGAAGGCGGCGACGGUGAAGGAGCAAAUCGCGGCCGGGCGGCUGGCCGACUCGCAGGGGUCGUGGUCGGAGCUGUUGGAUUUCAUUGACUCCAAGAGCGCCAGCGUCGACAUGUACAAUUUCCUGCUCGACGCCGGCAUGGACCCGGUGGCGGCGGACCUACCGGCGACCUCGUCGGCUCCGACGACGUCGAGCAACGCGCAAGUGAUGAAGUACUCGACGUACCUCGGCGGCAGCCAUGAGGAAGCCGGCUCCAACACCACCAACACCCUCGGCGGCAUCAUGAACGGGGUCAUCAAGGAGAAGCUCAAGAUCAUCCCCAAAGACCACGAGUGGCACGAGCUGUCCGAUCCCGUCUACAACGCGCUGGUCAACGACUUCAUGAAGCCACGGAUCGACGAGGUUGACGAGCUGCUGUCUUACGGUGUAGAUGUCACGGUUUAUAAUGGCCAGAUGACCCAACUUUAUGAAGCUCGACGUGAUUUGCUCGACCAAGGGCGCGGAGGCAUGGGUGCAAAAGCUCAAAUGGGACGGGCUGAAGAACUUCCUGAGCCUGCCGCGGCAGCCUCUGUCCUGCGGAUCAUCCAAGGUCACCAAGGCCUUCGUCAGGUCCUACAAGAACCUGCAUUUCUACUGGAUCCUCGGCGCUGGCCACUUCGUGCCUGCCGACCAGCCUUGCAUUGCGCUGAGCAUGAUCGCUGGCAUAACCCACUCUCCAGCCGGCUAGGUGAGGAGGAGGACCCGGAUCAGAUCCUGUCUGCCGGGUAG
RNAcentral lists this ribosomal RNA (1473 nucleotides) under Triticum aestivum (bread wheat). RNAcentral's name for it is "partial small subunit ribosomal RNA". The record is from RNAcentral. Lineage: Eukaryota; Viridiplantae; Streptophyta; Magnoliopsida; Poales; Poaceae.